UCUAAAUUUUAAUCCUCUGGUGUGCAAAGUUGCUGGGAAACAUGCCCUAUAUGGUCUGUCCUAUCCUACAGUUCAUCGAGUCUGUCGCUACCUGAUCUGUACCUGCAGCCCGAUUUGUACCGCGCAUACUCGCGCAAGUGUAGGGUACCUGAUCCGUACCACACAUACGUAAAUGACAUAAUGCAUAUUUUUCUAUCUUCUUUUCAUAUGGAACGUAACGCUUGUCAGUCAAGUUUCAAUAUGCAAUCGAUGCCGUUUUAUUUUGCCUACAAAAGUCUGAUACUCCCCAUUCACUUUAAUGGGAGCUCCAACGUUUUGCACUCAACACGCGCAGUACAGGCUUACUUCCGGUACAUCACAAAUUCAGGUCAUACUGGCAUAGUUUAGUUAAAUAUGCAUGUCUAUGACAAAUACAUGGUCACGUGAGAUGGUUCGCUAUUUGCGGUAAAAUUUGAACACAGUCACGAGCUCCUGGGGAGCAUUAUUAACGGAUCAGACAAGUCCUUGCUGUUAGCUACCCAUAUACAACGACGUCGAAAAUGUUUUUCUCAUGUAUGGUUGUCAGAAGAGAAGUGAGACAAGUUACCAGGGAAUACGGGAGAGGUGGAAGAAAUAGCCCGUCUGCCGCGCGUGAAAGGAGCGGGACGCCAAAACAGGCAGGUGAGACCAGCCUCGUGAGUGUUAAUGAAACCCCGAGAUGCGGCGCGCCUCGAACCGUAAGCAGCCGGAGUCGGCGAGCGCUCGGGUGACAUCGCGGGGAAAACUCCGGAGACGCAUAUUCAGCGCUUACUUGGAAGCGCUCCUUUGUGAAGCAUUUGGGAGUUAUUUGAUUGCCACAGUGUUUGUCUAAAUGAGGAGACCCUGCUGCUGUGGAAGAAUAACAUUAACAGUUAAAUUGGAGCGAUGCGUCCACUCUGUCAGGGAGGCUUACUUUACCAUGUAUAAUAGACUCAAAGUUCCAGAUUCAAACGAACCAAAAAACUGCUUUUUGCUGUUAGGCUUUUUUUAUACCUGAAAAUGAAGCCUGGAUUCAAACAGCAUCUGACCUAAAGUUUGGCUUAAAAUACAGCGGUUUCUGACCUGGCUGAACUUUGCACUUAUAUCCAUGUCAAAAUUAAGCACAAGCGUGGGUCGAAAUCCAGAGCGAGUGAUGUACUAGGAACAGCAAAGUCGGCGAUGUGUGUAGCUUUGCCAUUCAGACAUGGCCAGCGCUGUCCGGCGAGCGAAGCGUCAGAUUGGGGCAGUUCCU
This is a long non-coding RNA of Anguilla rostrata (American eel), 1249 nucleotides long. RefSeq lists it as uncharacterized. The record is from RefSeq and is a predicted model, not a curated record. NCBI's taxonomy places the organism in Eukaryota, Metazoa, Chordata, Actinopteri, Anguilliformes, Anguillidae. The transcript has 3 exons.